Molecule: non-coding RNA, 24 nt
Filed under: Cricetulus griseus (Chinese hamster)
Lineage: Eukaryota; Metazoa; Chordata; Mammalia; Rodentia; Cricetidae
Source: RNAcentral
AGGGCUGGACUAGGACAAAAUGGA